RNAcentral lists this ribosomal RNA (393 nucleotides) under uncultured bacterium. RNAcentral describes it as "partial 16S ribosomal RNA". It matches the Rfam family "Bacterial small subunit ribosomal RNA", at positions 523 to 918 of the family's 1533-position model. The record is from RNAcentral.
AUACGGAGGAUGCGAGCGUUAUCCGGGUUUAUUGGGUUUAAAGGGAGCGUAGGUGGGAUAUUAAGUCAGCUGUGAAAGUUUGGGGCUCAACCUUAAAAUUGCAGUUGAUACUGGUUUCCUUGAGUAUGGUAUAGGUGGGCGGAAUUCGUGGUGUAGCGGUGAAAUGCUUAGAUAUCACGAAGAACUCCGAUUGCGAAGGCAGCUCACUGGACUGCAACUGACACUGAUGCUCGAAAGUGUGGGUAUCAAACAGGAUUAGAUACCUUGGUAGUCCACACAGUAAACGAUGAAUACUCGCUGUUUGCGAUAUACAGUAAGCGGCCAAGCGAAAGCAUUAAGUAUUCCACCUGGGGAGUACGCCGGCAACGGUGAAACUCAAAUGAAUUGGCGGGG